This 467-nucleotide ribosomal RNA is filed under the name uncultured bacterium. RNAcentral describes it as "partial 16S ribosomal RNA". It matches the Rfam family "Bacterial small subunit ribosomal RNA", at positions 28 to 507 of the family's 1533-position model. The record is from RNAcentral.
GACGAACGCUGGCGGCGUGCUUAACACAUGCAAGUCGAACGGAAAGGCCUCUUUCGGGGGGUACUCGAGUGGCGAACGGGUGAGUAACACGUGAGUAACCUGCCCUUGACUUUGGGAUAACUUCAGGAAACUGGGGCUAAUACCGGAUAGGAGCUCCUGCUGCAUGGUGGGGGUUGGUAAGUUUCGGCGGUUGGGGAUGGACUCGCGGCUUAUCAGCUUGUUGGUGGGGUAGUGGCUUACCAAGGCUUUGACGGGUAGCCGGCCUGAGAGGGUGACCGGCCACAUUGGGACUGAGAUACGGCCCAGACUCCUACGGGAGGCAGCAGUGGGGAAUAUUGCACAAUGGGUGGAAGCCUGAUGCAGCAACGCCGUGUGCGGGAUGACGGCCUUCGGGUUGUAAACCGCUUUCGCUCAUGACGAAGCUUUGUGUGACGGUAGUGGGUAAAGAAGCACCGGCUAACUACGUG